CUGAAACUGAAAUUAGGGCAGAAUUCCACCUCCAUUAACAAGGUGGAAGGUCCUUUGGCGGAGGCCGAAUCGAAUGAUCUUUGUCCGGUCCAUUCUCCACCACAAACGCCAUCUUCAAUCCCCACCCAGUGUGAAGCUCCAGAUGUUUAUUCUCAUUACAAAAUCAUAAACCAUACCUGGAUUAUCAGCUCUAAACCUUAUGGCAGUCCACCCCCCUGUCGGAACUCCGACAGUGUUCCUCUCCGGAGGAUCCACCAAAUUAUACUUCGCCGGAUCCUUGACAGGAUCGAAGUUCCCAAUCCCUGACCCGACCACGAAGAAAUUAUACCCAUGGAGAUGGAAAGGAUGAGAUUCAACCGACAGAAGAUUCGUAUCCUGCAGCACCAAUUCCACCGUCGAAUUGAACGCAAUUUUGCUCAGCCGAGGUUGUCCGCUCACCGACGUUUUCAGGUUCGCCGUAAGCGGCGCUCCGGUGUAGUUAAAAACCGUCGGAGGACGGUCAGGGAAGUCCAUUUUGAACACUCCUUUAAGGUUGUAAUAAUGAGCCUGUAAGAGUCCAAUUUUAGGCAUCACAAAGGUUAUGUUGUUCAAUGAAGCCGCCAUUUGUGUCCCAUUCAGACAAUCCUCACAAGGAUUCACUCCCAAGCCAAUCGUGUAGAACAGACGCCGGUCGACUUUCCGCGGCACCGCCGCCGGAAACUGCUUUGAAUUGAGGCUCCGGAGCUUUGCAUUGUAACUUAGAGCAUAAGCUGUGUUGUUAAGUGAUGGCAGCUGAGGUAAUGUCGGAAGUACGAAGUUUGGGAUGCCUUUAUAUUGCAGAAUGGCUGCAGCUGUUUUGUUGUCGAUAGAAAUCGGCGCGUCCAUGAAAGGCCUUGCGGCCAUGAAGUAUCGCCCGGGGAGCUGGUUCGCUCGGACAAGAACAUUUGUUGUCUGUCCAGGAGCUAUUAGGAUUGUCUCAGUCGAGAAAGGUUUGGUGUAGACAGCGUCGAUUUCGACAACCGUCAUCUUGUGUCCAUCAAUGGCGAAGAAAAGCUCGUCGUUGAGCGCAGCGUUGACGAUUCUCAAGAGAACACGGGAAGAGCGGCCCCGGCUUGCCGUUGAUCGUAUGCGCAUCCGAUGUUUUCGGAGAUUUAUUAGUCCACCACGAGACCUGGUCCUGAGAAUCGUAUCUACUGAAGUGGGCUGGGCGUUUUCGGAUCUGGGCCGAUCCGAUCCACUAGGCAACUUGAUUGUACCCAUUUUAGUGGGCCUGGGCAUAGGCAGCCCGGCCCGCUAGAGAACGUCCUUUGGGCUUCCUCUUCAUGGAUAAUCGUGGAGUGGCUACGACGCUGAGCGCAGGGGAGUCAUGGACGAAGCGCCGAUCAGCCAUUGCUGGAAGAAUUCUCAUCCUCGCCUCACACAGCACAAUCAAGUCGAAUGAGAUAGGCAUCGGACAGAAGAUUAUGGUUAUGGUAGAGGAGUGAUCUCGGAAGCUAAUCUGAUGAACUAGUGAGAACGAACGUCUCGAUUCCAUUCGUAUGUUGAAUAGGGAUAGCCAGAUAUGUUUGCCCUCCAUGGGAUUAUUGAACCUUUACAGCUCUUUUGUGGAAAGGCCCACAGCCCCACAGCAAAAGGGAAAUGAGACAAUUGAGAGAAAUUGCAUUUCGUUAUCUAAUUAUGAGGGGUCUUAUUAAUUGAAAUGUCUCAUUCCACUCUCACAGGAUCAGAAACAUUUGGUUGGCUAUUGUCUUCCUAUCCUCUCUACAUAUGAAUGAAUGCUUGCAAACAGCUUUCAGGCUUUAAUUCACAGGACAACUUGCAGAAAUAAGGACCAGAAAAUUGAGUAGACAUGUUUGUGUACCUGUAAAUGGCUGUGAAGUAAAUGCUGCUGGUCUUCCUUGUUGGUACUCCAUAGAAAACAGAUUUUGCAAGUCAUCCUCCCAUGUCAGGAUGAAUCAAGAAAUGAAUCGGCCAUUGAAACCACUGGUGGGGAAAUAGUUCUCCCAAUUUCUGGUAUGGGGCCUGAAAUUCCUUGAGUUGAUGCAUUGUAAUGCAGGUGAGCAGCAUUCACCAGGUGAGAGGGAAAGCUAGACGUGCACGAUGGAAAUAUCUGCGGGGAGAAAUUGGAGAUGUUAAACAUAGAUUGAACAUAGUUGAUUAUUUCGUCGAGCAUUCCAGCUUUCCCAGUUAUCUUGUUGCACCCCGGAACCAAAUCUUGCAGAAUUGGAAAGCUGUUGAAGUCACAAACAUCAGGGCACGCCAAACAGAGCAAGUUUGCUAGAACAUCACACACUCACCUUAGGGUUUUGAGCUUUAUCAACCUUUCUCUUUUUUGAGUUUGCUGUAGACGAGCCAAAAUCAGCUUCCUUUCCCACGCCGGCCGGUGCUGUUGCCGGCGGGGAGAUAACUGUCCCCGGAAAAGCUCUGCUCACUUCGACCUCGGACCGAUUCCCGUAAUUCAGGAUCAUCCGACUCAAGUCCCCGACCCACCCGUUUUCCGUACCCGGGUCCGGCUUCAUAGCUCCGCCCACCAUGACAUCACCAAUUCCACGAUCAUCGUUAUUUAAAGCGAAGAAAGCACCAGCGCCUGGCAGAUCGUUUUCACUGACGUAGUAAGUUGCAGGAAAUUGAUCCCGCUGCCAAUUCAGGCGCCGCUCAAGCACGCUCAUUUUGGCAUUUCCUGCAUCGGCGUUCAAACAAUGCAUCAUCUCCGGCGAGAGCUGCUCCAGAGCUUCUUCAAAGGUAGGAAAAGGUAAAGUAUCAAGAGCAAUCCCUAAUCGUCUUAUGUGAUCUUGUGAGUUCUGAGGAAAAAUAGUGGCUAAGGCAUAGUUAUAUAAACAUAUAUAUAAAGAGAGAGAGAGAGAGAGAGAGAGGGGGGGGGGGGGGUGUGGGGUACUUUAUAAUAUAAAGUGGCCGGAAAUGAUAACGACCGCCGGAAGAUGACUGAAGCAGCCGGAAUACAUGUGAGAGGGGGAUACAGUGGUAGUGGGCCCGGCCACGAGCAGAGGCCAUGGUGGGUGGGCCCACAAAUCACGUGGGCCUGUCUGUUGGACACGGCCCAUAUAUAGAUGAUUCUCAUAGUGGAUCAGAUUUGUGACACAAUUUUACUUUUCAUAUUCAUCAUACAUGCAUACAGGACAAUGUAAUAGUGGGCAGAUAUAGGAUUGGAGCAAAGAUUUUGUGAAAAAAUCAUUGUCAGUGGGGUACCAUUUCUGCUUUUCUGGUGCUUGGAUUUGGAACAAUGUUGUGAAGAACCUGAAAGCUGAUUGUAAUGGAUAAACAUGAAAUGGGCCUCUUUCCAGCAGAGUACUUUACAGGUCCUUAAAAGAUUCUUUUUGGAAGAAUAAUGUUUGGGCCAAAUAACACCCGGCCCAACUGUAGCGUUUAUGAAGUCCAUGAUAGAAGGCCCAACAG
Long non-coding RNA from Andrographis paniculata, 3393 nucleotides. RefSeq lists it as uncharacterized. The transcript is spliced from 13 exons. The record is from RefSeq and is a predicted model, not a curated record. NCBI's taxonomy places the organism in Eukaryota, Viridiplantae, Streptophyta, Magnoliopsida, Lamiales, Acanthaceae.